UUCCGUAGGGGGACCUGCGGAAGGAUCAUU
This 30-nucleotide ribosomal RNA is filed under the name Lasiodiplodia theobromae. RNAcentral's name for it is "partial 18S ribosomal RNA". Lineage: Eukaryota; Fungi; Ascomycota; Dothideomycetes; Botryosphaeriales; Botryosphaeriaceae. The record is from RNAcentral.